RNAcentral lists this ribosomal RNA (817 nucleotides) under uncultured bacterium. Its description in RNAcentral is "bacterial SSU rRNA". It matches the Rfam family "Bacterial small subunit ribosomal RNA", at positions 8 to 812 of the family's 1533-position model. The record is from RNAcentral.
AGAGUUUGAUCCUGGCUCAGGAUGAACGCUAGCUACAGGCUUAACACAUGCAAGUCGAGGGGCAGCAUGGUCUUAGCUUGCUAAGGCUGAUGGCGACCGGCGCACGGGUGAGUAACACGUAUCCAACCUGCCGUCUACUCUUGGCCAGCCUUCUGAAAGGAAGAUUAAUCCAGGAUGGCAUCAUGAGUUCACAUGUCCGCAUGAUUAAAGGUAUUUUCCGGUAGACGAUGGGGAUGCGUUCCAUUAGAUAGUAGGCGGGGUAACGGCCCACCUAGUCAACGAUGGAUAGGGGUUCUGAGAGGAAGGUCCCCCACAUUGGAACUGAGACACGGUCCAAACUCCUACGGGAGGCAGCAGUGAGGAAUAUUGGUCAAUGGGCGAUGGCCUGAACCAGCCAAGUAGCGUGAAGGAUGACUGCCCUAUGGGUUGUAAACUUCUUUUAUAAAGGAAUAAAGUCGGGUAUGCAUACCCGUUUGCAUGUACUUUAUGAAUAAGGAUCGGCUAACUCCGUGCCAGCAGCCGCGGUAAUACGGAGGAUCCGAGCGUUAUCCGGAUUUAUUGGGUUUAAAGGGAGCGUAGAUGGAUGUUUAAGUCAGUUGUGAAAGUUUGCGGCUCAACCGUAAAAUUGCAGUUGAUACUGGAUGUCUUGAGUGCAGUUGAGGCAGGCGGAAUUCCUAGUGUAGCGGUGAAAUGCGUAGAUAUUAGGAGGAACACCAGUGGCGAAGGCGGCUUACUGGACGGUAACUGACGUUGAGGCUCGAAAGCGUGGGGAGCAAACAGGAUUAGAUACCCUGGUAGUCCACGCCGUAAACGAUGA